CCUACGGGUGGCAGCAGUGGGGAAUAUUGCACAAUGGGGGAAACCCUGAUGCAGCGACGCCGCGUGAGUGAAGAAGUAUUUCGGUAUGUAAAGCCCUAUCAGCAGGGAAGAAAAUGACGGUACCUGAUUAAGAAGCCCCGGCUAACUACGUGCCAGCAGCCGCGGUAAUACGUAGGGGGCAAGCGUUAUCCGGAUUUACUGGGUGUAAGGGGAGCGUAGACGGCAGACGAAGUCUGGAGGGAAAUGCCGGGGCUUAACCCCGGAACUGCUUUGGAAACUGUGCAGCUAGAGUGCAGGAGAGGUAAGUGGAAUGCCUGGUGUAGCGGUGAAAUGCGUAGAUAUUAGGAGGAACACCAGUGGCGAAGGCGGCUUACUGGACUGUAACUGACGUUGAGGCUCGAAAGCGUGGGGAGCAAACAGGAUUAGAUACCCCGGUAGUC
This 440-nucleotide ribosomal RNA is filed under the name uncultured bacterium. RNAcentral describes it as "partial 16S ribosomal RNA". It matches the Rfam family "Bacterial small subunit ribosomal RNA", at positions 338 to 795 of the family's 1533-position model. The record is from RNAcentral.